AAAUGAAAAUACAGCCCACGUUGCAGGUGGCCGUCAUCUGGAGUUUCAGAGUUCCCUUUAUCACUCCUUUUGCUUAGUUCGUAUGUGUUUAUAGAGGAAUUAAUUGGGGAAAAAAGCCAGGUCUGUCUUUAAUUAAAGGCAGGCCCAUUAAGUGCGUGACAGAUACCAGGAAGAAAGAAGUGGUCAGAUUGGGCCGUGCUUGGGCACCGAGGACUUGCAAAUGACACUCAGCCUUUGAGACCUCAAAGAAAGCCCAGAGGCGAGACCGUUUGCCCCCGAAGGCCACCUGUGAUGUCUUGGACAGUGAUGGGCACGGUUUGCUCCCUGAGUCUUUGUGUCCCCAUCUGUGAAGUAGGGAGGGAGAAAUGUCACAGAUAAGCCCAUGGUGUCUGGCGGUGUUUGCAAAGCAGGGACCCCAGGCCAGCAGCAUCAGCAUCACCUGGGAGCUUCUUAGAAAGGCACAUUCUGGGGCCGUGCUCCAGACCCCUGAAUCAGACACUGGGGUUUGGCGCCAGCAAUUUGAUGCCCGCUCAGGUGUGAGAGCCACUAUAGGUGUCCUGUGGCUGUUUGCAGCCUUGGCUGCACAUUGGAGUCACCUGGCUUUUUUUUUUUUGAGGAAGAUUAGCCCUGAGCUAACAUCUGCCGCCAAUCCUCCUCUUUUUGCUGAGGAAGACUGGUCCUGACCUAACAUCCGUGCCUAAUUUCCUCUACUUUAUAUGUGGGAUGCCUGCCACAACAUGGCUUGCCAAACAGUGCAUAGGUCUGCACCCGGGACCCGAAUCGGUGAACCCCUGGCCGCCAAAGCAGAACAUGGGAGCUUAAUCGCUGCACCACUGGGCCGGCCCCUCACCUGGCGUUUUAAAGCCUCGAUGUGGGGACCACACCCCAGACCAGUUGCAUCAGGCCACCUAAGUUUGGAACCAGCAUCUGCGGCUUGUUGAAGCUCCCCAGGGAAUAAUCAACACCUUGUAUGAACCACACCCUAGGGAGGGAGCUGGGCAAGCAGGCAUGCGAGAUGCUCAGCUCCUGGGUUUCUGAUCUGACCGUCUCGCUGGGACUGCACUCCAGUGACCUUUAUCCCCUUUGUCAUAACCCAGGUCAGUCCUGAUAUCUGUUUAAAUUAAAAAUGCACAGUCCCCUUGACCCUUAGGAAUCUAUUCUGACACGAACAAAAUUGCCAGCGUGUUAGGAUACGUGUGCAGAGAUAUUUCUUUGUGUGGUGUUUGCCCUGGAAAAAGUCAGAAACAUAACUUUACCCAUAGGGUGAAUAGUAGAAUAAAUUAUGGCACAUUCAGUGUUAUGGAACGCCAUGAACCAUUACAAAGUAUUUGGUAGAUCUGUGUGUAUUGAUCUGGAAAGAGAUGUAGUAUAUAUUGUUGGGUGAAAAAGCAAAUACCUGAUUCAUGCCUGCCACAUAAUUCGUUUUUUUUUCUUUUGAGGAAAAAGAGCCUCCAUAUUGUGUGUGUGUGUUGUGCGUAAAGGGAAGCAAAGCAUGCAAGAAUGCACUCCAGGCUGUUUGAAUUGGUUACUUUGUGGGAUUGGAGAGAGGGAGAAAGUCACUCGUUCAAUUAUUCAUUUAUAUUCUCGUUCAUUCAUUCAUUGGUGCGUUCAUGUUUUCAUUCAAUGAAUAUUUAUUUAAGGUCUGCUGUGCAUCAGGCAUUGUAACCCUGGGGAUGCAGCUGUGAACAGAAUGGACCAAGUUGCUGCUUUCGUGCGUCUAGAGUGACUAACUGUUCCAGUUUGCCCGGGACUGUCCUGGUUUUGGCACUGCGAAUCCAGUGUCCCUGGCCGAUCCUUAGUCCUGGGCAAGCUGGAGGGAUGGUCAGCCUGUGGAGCGUGCAUGUUAGUAUGUGGGGGGGACAGAUAAACAAAUAUAAGAGUGUGGCCGGUGUUUUGGCGGUAAACGAGCCAUGUGGGAGCUCCUCCAAUUCGCUCACGGGGAGAAUAAUCCUCCUGUAAAUUGGGACUGGCUGUCAGUGAUGCGAGGGAGCUCUCUGAUCGCCCCACGGGUCCUCGGCCAGCUCUCCAAAUUGCUGAGUCGGCAGUGGGACCUAAUUUGUUAAUUAAGAGUAGAUGCUGAGCUGUCCUCGUAUUUUGAUUAACCUAAUGACCUUCCCAGCAUGGCUGGGACUCAUGUGUAGACAUCACUGCAACGUUUAAUGAAAUGAUUCGAAGGGCUAUUAGGAGACCCAUCCCGUUAUUAGGCAGCUCGUCUGCACUGGUAACUGCCUAGCAGCUGAGCCUAUCGGAGCCGGGGCCCCAGUGAACGCUUGGUGUUUGGUUAAAGGCGUGAUGCUUAAUCUUUUAGUCACGCUCGAGGGGUUGAUGGCCCUUCUGGCUUUGACCCAAUUUGCUCUGCACUGGAAGAGCAACUGGGAGAAGAGGCGUCACAGGCUCUGAGGCUGGAGCAGGUGCUGCUGGCGUCCUGCUCACGUCCCCUUGGUCCCAGCAUCUUCCAUCUGCAAGCACCUGUGACACUGGAGACUCUGCGUAGAGUUUUCCUUGCUGGCCCGUGCAUGGCCGGGAGUUCUGGGAGGGGAUGUUAUGAACUGAAGUGUCCCCCAAAAGAUGUUGGAGUCCUAACCGCCACACCUGUGAAGGUGACUUUAUUAGGAAAUAGUGUGUUUGCAGACGAUCGAGUUAAGAUGAGAUCAUUAGGGUGGGUUCUCAUCCAGUAUGACUUUAUAGUAUAUCCUUAUAUCCGGUAUGUCCUUAUAAAAAAUGGAAAUUUGGACAGAGACAGACUUCAGGUAGGCUGCCGUGUGAAGUUGAGGGCAGAGAUCAGAGUGGUGUAUCCAUAAACAAGGGAAUGUCAAAGACGGCCAGUAAUCCGGCAGAAGCCGGGAGGGAGGCGUGGGACGGAUUGUGCCCCCCAGCCUCAGAAGGAACCAACCCUGCCAACACUUUGACCUCAGGCUUCCAGCUUCCAGAACUGAGACAAUAAAUGUCUGUCGCUGAAGCCGCCCAGCGUGUGGGG
Molecule: long non-coding RNA, 2977 nt
Filed under: Equus asinus (donkey)
Lineage: Eukaryota; Metazoa; Chordata; Mammalia; Perissodactyla; Equidae
Description: lncRNA (ENSEASG00005032372.1)
Source: RNAcentral